AUGUAGGCUGAUUGGAAAAAUACUCAUGACAGAAUCUCCUUGAACCAUAAAAAUACUAUUCCUGUGGCAGAGCGGAUGAAUUUGAAGUCCUUUCCAUUCCAGAAGUCUCCGGGCACAAUCCCUCUGCUCUCCACUGAAGUUUGGUAGGGGAACCUGUUGUCUAAAGCAACAGUGAAAUGUAAAUUACUAAGAAUCAUCUACUUACUUAGAAGGCACAACAAGAAAGUUAAUCUUGCCGACAGAAAGAGAUUACAGAAAGCGAAGCCAAACCCCUAACAGUUGAUGUUAUGUAUCACCCUGCUCCUAUAACUUAUUAAAGAUGUCAUUUUACAAUUAAAAUUUUUAUCAUGAAAAAUGUUAAAUCUUUUCUAACAACCAAAAUACACGUUGAAUUCUUCGCUUUGCACCGAGCUCAGGAUUGAAAAAUGGACUUGAUCAUCACCGGUAAUUGGGUGCAAGACAAGGUUCUGACAAAGAAAUGCGAAUUUAAGAAUUUUGAGAAAUUGCUUAGUAACCUUCCAACUUUUGGAUGGUGAUUUCCAAGCAGCAGGUCCCUCUGUCAAUGAAGCCAUUCUGGACAUAUUGCCCCCGUCACCGCUAACAGCAAUAACUUUCCAGUUUCUACCAACCUGGAUUUGUUUAGACAAUUUAUAGAUUUUUUUUUUCUAGGGUUUUCACGUGAAAUUUGGGAUUUAUUUUGAUUCUAUGAACUCCGAAACAACCCGCCCAUGGCCUUGAGUUUAGUGUCACUUCAUGAUGGUGACAGAGCAAAUCUGGUAUGAAGCAUGAACACCAGAACACUCCACAACUACUGAAAUAUUUAAUAAAUUUGCCGUAUAUUUGUAUUAUACAUAGUAUCGUUUAGGCAGAGGAGAAAAACAGUAUGAUUUCUGUGGGUUGUGGACCUUGGUUCAGGUAAUAAAAGAUUACAUGAUUAUAUUUUUUUAAA
Long non-coding RNA from Mangifera indica (mango), 949 nucleotides. RefSeq lists it as uncharacterized. NCBI's taxonomy places the organism in Eukaryota, Viridiplantae, Streptophyta, Magnoliopsida, Sapindales, Anacardiaceae. The record is from RefSeq and is a predicted model, not a curated record. The transcript has 2 exons.